CACCCGAUAGCACAUGGUGUGCGCCUGCCUUCCUUCACUGCUCUUCCGCUUCGUUGAGAUGUAGGCAGGAGGUCCCGUUCGACUCGGGGUUGGGUGA
Molecule: non-coding RNA, 97 nt
Organism: Mycena metata
Lineage: Eukaryota; Fungi; Basidiomycota; Agaricomycetes; Agaricales; Mycenaceae
Source: the annotation of a GenBank genome assembly